UAUGCCUACGGGGGGCAGCAGUGAGGAAUAUUGGUCAAUGGACGAGAGUCUGAACCAGCCAAGUAGCGUGAAGGAUGACUGCCCUAUGGGUUGUAAACUUCUUUUAUAUGGGAAUAAAGUGAGCCACGUGUGGCUUUUUGUAUGUACCAUACGAAUAAGGAUCGGCUAACUCCGUGCCAGCAGCCGCGGUAAUACGGAGGAUGCGAGCGUUAUCCGGAUUUAUUGGGUUUAAAGGGUGCGUAGGCGGUCCGUUAAGUCAGCGGUAAAAUUGCGGGGCUCAACCCCGUCGAGCCGUUGAAACUGGC
Molecule: ribosomal RNA, 305 nt
Filed under: uncultured bacterium
Lineage: Bacteria
Description: bacterial SSU rRNA
Rfam family: Bacterial small subunit ribosomal RNA
Source: RNAcentral